AUACGAGACUGUUCUCUUUGAGGCCGGUCAUCGGAAUGGGUACAAUUUAAACCCUUUAACGAGUAUCAAGCAGAGGGCAAGUCUGGUGCCAGCAGCCGCGGUAAUUCCAGCUCUGCUAAUACAUAGAAUUAUUGCUGCGGUUAAAAAGCUCAUAGUUGGAUUCGUAUCGGUACCUUGGAACCCUUCGGGUGUCUCUGGGUGUUAUCGAUUUAUCGUAAUGUUCGGUUUUGAGUCCUUAACAGGAUUCUUAACAGGCAUUGCAAGUUUACUUUGAACAAAUCAGAGUGCUUCAAACAGGCGUUUUCGCUUGAAUGAUCGUGCAUGGAAUAAUAGAAAAUGAUUUCGGUUCAGUUUUAUUGGUUUUACGGACUGAGAUAAUGGUUAACAGAGACAAACGGGGGCAUUUGUAUGGCCCCGUGAGAGGUGAAAUUCUUGGACCGUGGCCAGACAAACUACAGCGAAAGCAUUUGCCAAGAAUGUUUUUAUUAAUCAAGAACGAAAGUCAGAGGUUCGAAGGCGAUCAGAUACCGCCCUAGUUCUGACCGUAAACGAUGCCAACUAGCGAUCCGCCGAUGGAAAUUAUAUUGCCUUGGUGGGGAGCUUCCCGGAAACGAAAGUCUUCCGGUUCCGGGGGAAGUAUGGUUGCAAAGCUGAAACUUAAAGGAAUUGACGGAAGGGCACCACCAGGAGUGGAGCCUGCG
RNAcentral lists this ribosomal RNA (701 nucleotides) under Meloidogyne incognita (southern root-knot nematode). RNAcentral describes it as "SSU rRNA". It matches the Rfam family "Eukaryotic small subunit ribosomal RNA", at positions 477 to 1187 of the family's 1831-position model. Lineage: Eukaryota; Metazoa; Nematoda; Chromadorea; Rhabditida; Meloidogynidae. The record is from RNAcentral.